RNAcentral lists this ribosomal RNA (968 nucleotides) under Marinophialophora garethjonesii. Its description in RNAcentral is "SSU rRNA". It matches the Rfam family "Eukaryotic small subunit ribosomal RNA", at positions 135 to 1113 of the family's 1831-position model. The record is from RNAcentral. Lineage: Eukaryota; Fungi; Ascomycota; Eurotiomycetes; Chaetothyriales; Herpotrichiellaceae.
UUUACUGGAUAACCGUGGUAAUUCUAGAGCUAAUACAUGCUAAAAACCCGGACCUCCGAAGGGGGUGUAUUUAUUAGAUAAAAAACCCAAUGCCCUCUGGGCUCUUGGUGAUUCAUAAUAACUUAACGAAUCGCAUGGCCUUGCGCCGGCGAUGGUUCAUUCAAAUUUCUGCCCUAUCAAUUUUCGAUGGUAGAGUAGUGGUCUACCAUGAUCUCAACGGGUACCGGGGAAUUAGGGUUCGAUUCCGGAGAAGGAGCCUGAGAAACGGCUACUACAUCCAAGGAAGGCAGCAGGCGCGCAAAUUACCCAAUGCUAAUACAGCGAGGUAGUGACAAUAAAUACUGAUACGGGGCUCUUUCGGGUCUCGUAAUUGGAAUGAGUACAAUCUAAAUCCCUUAACGAGGAACAAUUGGAGGGCAAGUCUGGUGCCAGCAGCCGCGGUAAUUCCAGCUCCAAUAGCGUAUAUUAAAGUUGUUGCCGUUAAAAAGCUCGUAGUUGAACCUUGGACCUGGCUGAUCUGUCCUCCUAAUCGAGCGCACGGAUUCGGUCGGGUCUUUCCUUCUGGGGAGCCCUAUGCCCUUCACUGGGUGUAGUGGGGAACCAGGACUUUUACCUUGAAAAAAUUAGAGUGUUCAAAGCAGGCCUUUGCUCGAAUACAUUAGCAUGGAAUAAUAGAAUAGGACAUCGGUUCUAUUUUGUUGGUUUCUAGGACCGCUGUAAUGAUUAAUAGGGAUAGUCGGGGGCGUCAGUAUUCAAUUGUCAGAGGUGAAAUUCUUGGAUUUAUUGAAGACUAACUACUGCGAAAGCAUUCGCCAAGGAUGUUUUCAUUAAUCAGUGAACGAAAGUUAGGGGAUCGAAGACGAUCAGAUACCGUCGUAGUCUUAACCAUAAACUAUGCCGACUAGGGAUCGGACGGUGGUUUUUUUAUGCCCCGUUCGGCACCUUACGAGAAAUCAAAGUUUUUGGCU